GAUGAACGCUGGCGGCGUGCCUAAUACAUGCAAGUCGAGCGAACAGACGAGGAGCUUGCUCCUCUGACGUUAGCGGCGGACGGGUGAGUAAAACGAGGAUAACCCACCUAUAAGACUAGGCUAAGUUAGGGAAACCGAAGCUAAAACUGGACAAUAGCUUGAACCUGAUGGUUCAAUAGUUCAGGACGUUUUUGAUGUCCCUUCUAGCUGUAUCCGCGUUGCAUUGGUUAGUUGGUACGGUAACGGCUUACCAAGGCGACGAUGCGUAGCCGACCUGCGAGGGGGAACGGCCACACUGAAAGUGAGACACGGUCCAGACUCCUACGGGAGGCAGCAGUAGGGACUCUUGCGCAAUGGGCGAAAGCCUGACGGAGCAACGCCGCGUGAGUGAUGAAGGUCUUCGGAUCGUAAAACUCUGUUAGUAGGGAAGAACAAAUGUAUAAGUAACUAUGCACGUCUUGACGGUACCUAAACAGAAAGCAACGGCUAACUACGUG
RNAcentral lists this ribosomal RNA (497 nucleotides) under uncultured bacterium. RNAcentral describes it as "partial 16S ribosomal RNA". It matches the Rfam family "Bacterial small subunit ribosomal RNA", at positions 28 to 507 of the family's 1533-position model. The record is from RNAcentral.